This 203-nucleotide long non-coding RNA is filed under the name Elaeis guineensis (African oil palm). Its description in RNAcentral is "long non-coding RNA (EGUI_LNC050582)". The record is from RNAcentral. Lineage: Eukaryota; Viridiplantae; Streptophyta; Magnoliopsida; Arecales; Arecaceae.
CGGAUAUAGUUUCCAUAUAAUUCAUAUCCUUGACCAAAAUGUUCAUAAGACACCUCAGAGUUCAACUGUCAACUCUGAUCAGGUUGUCCAUAUUGUAUUUCAAAAUAUCAAAUCUAUCUGAUGGAUUAUCCUGGUCAAGGUUUUGCUAAAUUGAAAUACAGUGACUCAUUCUUCUCCAACUCUUGAAGUGGUCAAUCCCAUCU